CCAAUGUCACCAACAGCAAUGGGGCCCACCAUCAGCCUGGACCUGGAUGUGGAUGACGUGGAGAUGGAGAACUAUGAGGUCCCAUGGAGCCCCAUGCUGGGAGGUGGGGUUUGGGAGACCUGCAGCCCUGGGCACCGCUGACCCCGUCUCCUGCCCGCAUGCAGGCCCUCCUGAACCUGGCCGAGCGGCUGGGAGAUGCCAAGCCCCGGGGCCUCACCAAAGCAGACAUAGAGCAGCUCCCGUCGUACCGCUUUAACCCGGACAGCCAUCAGUCAGAGCAGACGCUGUGUGUGGUCUGCUUCAGUGACUUCGAGGCGCGGCAGCUGCUCCGAGUCCUCCCCUGCAACCAUGAGUUCCACACCAAGUGUGUUGACAAGUGGUUGAAGGUAACACUGCCCAGGCUGGCUCCUGGGUAUUCCUCAUGCAGUGAUGGUGGGAUGGGCUGGCCUGGGCUGUUUCCCUCCUUGUCCUUGUCAUUAUCUCCGAAGUUCUGGCUCCAGGGGACCAGGUCCCCCUAGGCAGCUGCACAGAUGUGAUGGGUUGGGGCUGGUGAGAGCAACGCCUGACGUGCAUGUUCCCACAGGCCAACCGGACAU
RNAcentral lists this small RNA (596 nucleotides) under Pongo abelii (Sumatran orangutan). RNAcentral describes it as "retained intron". The record is from RNAcentral. Lineage: Eukaryota; Metazoa; Chordata; Mammalia; Primates; Hominidae.